UUCCACUUUCUUCUACUAAAUUUAUUAGCUCACAAUCGCUCAAAACGCAUAUCAGCAAACAUUGGUCUCACUGCUUCGAAUCUUCGGAUUAGGGUUUCUGAAGUUCUCUUUGUUCUUCACUCUUCCAAUUUCAGGAGCAACAAAUUAGGGCCGUUGUGUAUGAUGAUGAUAUUAGGCAUUAUGCAAAGAAGCUUCAAACCUCGGAGACAUAUUUAAUUUCCACAGCAAGAGUUCGAGUUUCACCCACUUUAUACGUCAAACCAAUACACAUGUUUUAUUGGGUACUCGACAAAGAAACUAUAGUUGAACAUGUCAAGCCAACUGUCUAGUAUGAGAAACCACUCCCACCAUCAACUAAGCUGAAAAUCACAACUUUUGGCGACAUCGCUAAUAUGACUCCUCAUUCUUCUGUAGAAAUUGGUAUACCACUCUUAUCAAUUACUAGCAUGCUCAAUUAUAUAUGCUUAUACAUGUAUGCACUCAUUAUAUUCCAUAUAUAUAUAUAUAUUACUAGUAGACAUACUAGAAGUUGUUCUACGUUGUGGCCCUCCAAAAUACGCAGGUCGCAAUGGAUUAUUGUUGUUGACAAUCAGUAAGUACAACAUUCAUUUCAGUUUUCCUUUGGAAGCAUAUGCAUAUCCUUACGAUAGAUGCUCAAAAAAUUAGUAUUAUAUUCUCGGCACUCUCAGGAAAAAAAAUUCUACUCACUUUAUGGGAGGACUUCGGAGAAACUAAAGGAACUCUGCUCCAAGCUAAAAUGGGAACUCCAAGCUAAACUAGGAAAGGAUAAAGAGUUCCGUAUAAUUCUUGGAAGGAAUAUAGGAAUAUCUUCUUAUCAGGGUUUAUCUCUGCAAACGAGAUUCAACUCAAAUACACAUAAAUCCUGCUUACCCACAGGAAUUGGAGCUCAUAAAUGGGUACCAACUUUUCAGCCUUGCUUUUUAACUUGCCCUUCAAUAAGGCAAAAACAAACAAACACAUGCUUUCAAGUUAUGCAUGAGCCAGCUUCUCCGUGUCAUCAACGUCUCUCACAGUAACUCCUGCUCAACAACAAGUUAUCUUCAUUGUAGAAAUUUCAUUACAAACUUCGGUAAUGUUUCACUUAUCUAGAUGUGAAUACGUUUAUUCAUGAAACAGAAUAAUAUACAUGUGCAUUUCCUCUUCCUUGACAGAUUGGAGUUUUCUAUGUUGAGGCAGAAAUGUUUAUUUCAAAUAAGCUGCAGAAAUUUUGUGUGCUUGAAUGUUUAGGAUGCAAACAGAAUAAGAACACGAAAGAAAGAAGAGAAUUUGAAUGCACAAAGUGUAAUCGACAGACAACAUUAGUGCCUAGGUACUACGUUUUCACCAUACAUAUAAAUUUCAUCCCCACAAAAUAUAGCAUAUAUGUACAAAUAUUAAACUCAAUAUGGUUCCCGGUGUACCUUCCAAAUUGAUCUUAUUGAUGGCAGUGGGUCGACUACGGCAUCAAUUUCUGGAGAUAUAGUUGAGAAGAUGCUCCCUAUGACAGCAGAACAUAUAUUUGAAACUGUCACGACCCAACCCCGUAGGCCGUGACUGGUGCCCGAACUGGACACCCGUAUACAUGUUCUUUAGUUAUAUGUUCUUUUCACAACAAACUCAAUAUGGAUUCUUAUAACGACCAACCAUGGUCUCAGAUUUGUCACAUAAUUAUACAUAUAAAAGCAAACCGACAAGGCUACCAUCACAUAUCAUUAUCAUAUGCAAGCCAACAAGGCUUCCAUUAUAGACGAACAUCGUACCACGGUACAUCAUAUAGACACAGCUGAACAGAACCCAUACACAACCCACACAUAUGUCCACAGACUUCUAAGAGUUUCAACAGUGAAAUAUGACGGGACAGGGCCCUGUCGUACCCGUAGUCAACAUAUGCAUAUAUUUAGAUCAAAAGGGUCUAUACCAAAGUCUGGGCUCCGGAACAACGAAACUCUCCAAAAUAGCAGAAGGGAAAUCUUAAGUUGUCGGAUCACCAAAGCGAGUAUCUGCACCUGCGAGCAUGAAACGCAGCCCCUCGAAGAAAGGGGGUCAGUACAAAAUAUGUACCGAGCAUGUAAAGCAUGAAAUACAGUAAACAGGAUCAUAACUGAAAUAAGAGGUACAGAAAAUGAGUACAAUAACCAAAAUACCAAGUACUUGCUUUUGAAACAUAACUCAUGCACAUCAAUAUCAUAUGUCAGAUCUGGCCCCAUUAUGGGACUCGGUGAACAUGGUCGCCACCCCGUCUAUGGCGCCAUAACACAGCA
Lycium barbarum (goji berry) is the source of this 2261-nucleotide long non-coding RNA. RefSeq lists it as uncharacterized. Lineage: Eukaryota; Viridiplantae; Streptophyta; Magnoliopsida; Solanales; Solanaceae. The record is from RefSeq and is a predicted model, not a curated record. The transcript is spliced from 3 exons.